CCCACAUGCGAAUACACAUACAUGCGCGAACGCACACACACACUUUCGUCACUGGACUGGAUGAGAAAACACUUCCUCUCGUUACUGGUCUCCUUCACAAACAACACAGAUGCCUGUUAUACAUUGCAGUUACCGACAACGGGUGCAUUAGGCUCUACUAUCUCCCACCCAUCCGGUGUAUAGCAUAUUUUUUUAUCGUAAGGGAAACACGCCAGUGACGGUUUUUACGAGUUCGGUCUGGGAGAGCUACCGGGCGGUGUGCAUCAAUUAUCAACUGUGUUUAUUGUGAUUGACGUGCUUUUUGACGAUCUGGGGCGAAAACUCAGGACCAAGGCGGCCGGGACAAACCUUUACAUGCAAAG
Long non-coding RNA from Lytechinus variegatus (green sea urchin), 362 nucleotides. RefSeq lists it as uncharacterized. NCBI's taxonomy places the organism in Eukaryota, Metazoa, Echinodermata, Echinoidea, Temnopleuroida, Toxopneustidae. The transcript is spliced from 2 exons. The record is from RefSeq and is a predicted model, not a curated record.